Daucus carota subsp. sativus is the source of this 807-nucleotide long non-coding RNA. RefSeq lists it as uncharacterized. Lineage: Eukaryota; Viridiplantae; Streptophyta; Magnoliopsida; Apiales; Apiaceae. The transcript is spliced from 2 exons. The record is from RefSeq and is a predicted model, not a curated record.
AUUUAUGCCCUGUUUGGUAAUCUUGAUUUGAUUUCAAAUCCUGUAUUUGUUCAAAUCCACUGUUUGGCAAACUUUAUAAUAUCUGGAUUUGGAUUUGUCCAAUUCCAUCAGAUUAAAACAAAAGCCAAAAUUAAAUAAUUGGAAAUGCCGGUCAGAGAUAUGUCAUUUGAAAUUAAAAAAACAGAACACGCGCAGCUCCUUCGCUCCUCGCCACGCCUCGCUCUCGCUCCUCGGUCCUCUUCUCUCCCGUCAUCCUCCGGUCUCGAAGAACCCCAAUGCUUCCAACUAUCAGAACAAGAGCAUUGAUAAUUGGGAUGAUAUAUGCACUCUAUUUGCAUCAGAUAGAUUAACUGGUGAGAGUGCUGAGCAAUAUGAAGAAUCAGCAGCUGCAAUGGAGAUGGAGAAUGAACUUGGCAGCGGCGGUGCCGGUUUAGAGGCAGCUUCCGGGGAGUCAAACAAGAAGGUCAAAAGAGAUCGUCUUGCAGAUGCAGUGACUAAGUUUGCCGAGUCUUUCUGUGAGUAUGUGAGUAAAGCACGUGGCCCUCCAAGACCCUCUAGCAAAGAGAUAUAUGAUGUCAUAUCUGUUGUUCCUUAUAUUUUUCGGAUGCAAAUCCGGAAAGGCGUGAAAAGUUUUAUGAAUGGCACAAUCGACAUGUUUGAAAUGCUUAAGAAGCCUGCCGGAUACUGAUAAAUUAGAUUGGGUUUUGUUACACAUUGAUGACUAAUUAGAAUAUUUUAUCUUAGACUUUAUUUGUAAUUUUGAAUGAGAUUAAAUAUCUAUCUAUUUCAAAAUAUUAUUUAGAUAAA